This 253-nucleotide ribosomal RNA is filed under the name uncultured bacterium. RNAcentral's name for it is "partial 16S ribosomal RNA". It matches the Rfam family "Bacterial small subunit ribosomal RNA", at positions 524 to 776 of the family's 1533-position model. The record is from RNAcentral.
UACGGAGGAUGCGAGCGUUAUCCGGAUUUAUUGGGUUUAAAGGGUGCGUGGGCGGGAGCGCAAGUCAGAUGUGAAAACUCAGGGCUCAACCCUGAGCCUGCAUUUGAAACUGUGUUUCUUGAGUGCUGGAGAGGCAAUCGGAAUUCCGUGUGUAGCGGUGAAAUGCGUAGAUAUACGGAGGAACACCAGUGGCGAAGGCGGAUUGCUGGACAGUAACUGACGCUGAGGCGCGAAAGCGUGGGGAGCAAACAGG